GGGCGAGUGGCGGAAUUGGCAGACGCACAUGGCUUAGGACCAUGCGAGGAAACUCUUGGAGGUUCAAGUCCUCUCUCGCCCACCA
RNAcentral lists this transfer RNA (85 nucleotides) under bacterium BMS3Abin10. Its description in RNAcentral is "tRNA-Leu". It matches the Rfam family "tRNA". Rfam says of the family: Transfer RNA (tRNA) molecules are approximately 80 nucleotides in length. RNAcentral also lists the same sequence under 3 other names. The record is from RNAcentral.